Molecule: unclassified non-coding RNA, 558 nt
Filed under: uncultured Bartonella sp.
Lineage: Bacteria; Pseudomonadati; Pseudomonadota; Alphaproteobacteria; Hyphomicrobiales; Bartonellaceae
Description: partial 16S-23S ribosomal RNA intergenic spacer
Source: RNAcentral
CCCUGCUUGCAAAGCAGGUGCUCUCCCAGCUGAGCUACGGCCCCUAAAUCAGAAUAAAGCGUUUAAAACGAUCAAAAGAGGGAUUACAAAAUCUAUAUAACUCAAAGCGAUAUGAUUGAACCGAUAGUUUCAUAUAGGCAUUGACGUCUAUGAGCAUUUGGAAUUUAUAUCAACCAAAUGGACGCUGUAAAAAUCACUUUGCAAGGAAUUUUGACUCCUUAGUAUUUAGCAUUUGAACUGUUUUUUUGCCAUUAAUUUGCUUUAACUUUGGAUUACUCACACAAAAGCAAUAAGCCUGCCAAUUUUGAUAAGCUUUUUAGAAGCAAUCUUUUUAGAAGUACUUAUUUUUUAAAAGCACUUAUGAAAGUAAUGGAUAAACUGGUGGGCCUGGGAGGACUUGAACCUCCGACCUCACGCUUAUCAAGCGCGCGCUCUAACCAACUGAGCUACAAGCCCUCCGGGAUAAACCGGAAAACCUUCCCCGGCAUCCUCUUAUAAAACGCUUAAAUUUUAUCAAGGAAAGCGUUUUUCAAAGCCCACGGUGGACUUGUUUUGUCU